Molecule: ribosomal RNA, 261 nt
Filed under: uncultured archaeon
Lineage: Archaea
Description: partial 16S ribosomal RNA
Rfam family: Archaeal small subunit ribosomal RNA
Source: RNAcentral
CAGCCGUAAACUAUGCUCGCUAGGUGUCAGGCAUGGCGCGACCGUGUCUGGUGCCGCAGGGAAGCCGUGAAGCGAGCCACCUGGGAAGUACGGCCGCAAGGCUGAAACUUAAAGGAAUUGGCGGGGAGCACCACAACGGGUGGAGCCUGCGGUUUAAUUGGACUCAACGCCGGGAAGCUCGCCGGGGACGGACAGCAAUAUGUAGGCCAGGCUGAAGACCUUGCCUGAAUCGCUGAGAGGAGGUGCAUGGCGUAGACGUCU